RNAcentral lists this unclassified non-coding RNA (3253 nucleotides) under Leishmania donovani. RNAcentral describes it as "gene:LdHU3.31.0100(CDS-product:helicase-like_prot ein)". The record is from RNAcentral. Lineage: Eukaryota; Euglenozoa; Kinetoplastea; Trypanosomatida; Trypanosomatidae.
GAGGCAGCGGCUGCAGGCUACCUCACCGAGCUCGUCGUUUCGGGAUUUCUGGUGUUCGCACUCGCCAGACACUAAAGACUCACAAAGGUGUGGGGCGGCAUCAUUACCGCUGACGCCUCGUACGUCCUCGUCUUGCAUCCCCCUCAUAGACCCAUAGAAGCACUCCUCUAUAUCGACCGUUGGGGCUCUUUUACUUUUCGCUCCCUCAAUUCAGCCCUCCCCCUCCCCCCAUCCCCUCCCACCAAACGACGACCCUCCUUGCUCAGUGGCACACACGAGGUACAGACGCGCGCUCACGCCCUCGCGCAGUGCCGCGUGUGAUGGAAUGCUCAGCCGCUCAUCAUGUCGCCUCCAGACAAUCGGCUUCUAUGUGGCGCAGCACCCAUGGCUGAAGGCUGCCGGGUUUGUGAAGAUUGGCUACAGCACCUGCCUUGAGACGCGCCUCGAAAUGGCCUCUUUCACGACGUGCUUUACACCGGAGUGGCACUAUGUCUCCGUCUUCGAGUGCCAGACCAGCAAGGAGGCGCUUCUGCUCGAGCAGUCGGUGCUGUUUUGCCUGAGCGCGAAACGUGUCGAGCACCGCGAGCUGAUUCGGCUCAGCGAGGACGAGGUGACGGAGACAGCGGCGGUGCUCGCACGCAAGCUGCGCCUCUCCGUUGUCCAACGCAUGCGUCCGCAUUACGGAGGCACGCUCGACGCAGCGUCAUCAGCCGACCCUCGGCAGCGGCCACGUCGGCACACUUUCACCGGCUUGAAAGCCACCGUGGCGGACGAGGAUCCAGACGCGGCCCCGCCCUCUCCCGCCAUGGUCUCUACCACCAUUGCGCCGUACCGUGAAGUUCUCGACGGCGUCAAGGCUGGCAUGCACACGCCUCACUCGUCUCUCCACGAAGACGUCUAUCCUGCGGUGAGUAAAGGCGAGGAGGAUGAGGAGGGCCUCUGCAGCGGAGACUUCAGCUUUCUCUCCACCUGGAUCGACCACAACGACUACUCCCUUGACGUGCUUCGGCCUUACCAACAGGAGGCCGUUGCCCGUCUCAUGGCAGAGCUCCGCGAGCGCAAGAAAGCCGUGUGCCAGAUGGCGUGCCGAUGCGGCAAAACACCGGUGGCGUACCACAUCAUUCAGCGCACCCUCCAGGAGGGUAGUAGCGGGCGCGUUCUCUACCUCGUCCCUGGGCUUUCCCUGCUUCGGCAGACGGUGCGCAAACUCGUCGCCUACGGUCUGCAGGACACGCCGCUGCUCCUCAUCGGCUCCGACCCACUCCCGGUGGUGCUAAGCGGGAACAAGUGUCAGUCCAUGACGACGAACCCCGACGUCAUUCGAGAAACCAUCCUGGGCAAUCCCAAAGUGGUUGUCGUCUCCACGUACCACUCAUCGCCGCUGCUCAAGGAGCUAAACAUCUUUCAGCUCACCGUUUUCGACGAGUGCCACCGCGUGUGCGGCAGCGCAGCCGAUACGGCGUUCAACACCGUGCUGAAGCUCCCACUGCAUGGUCAGCGCCUCUUCCUCACGGCCACCCCCACGUACGACACACCCAUCAAAAUGAGUGACACCGGCUACUUUGGCGGCAUCGCCUACCGCUACUACCUUCGUGAGGGCAUCAACGAUGGCUACGUGAACCCCUUCUCCGUGCGCGUCGUGCUGGGCGGCACGAUGUCGCACAUGAAUCCAUACCUGUUCGAGGCGAUGCGCAUGGUGGACAAGAUGCUCGUCUUUUGCCGCGACAUCGCCCACGCUCUCAAGAUGUACGAGGAGCUAAUGGCGGAGACACCCCCCAGCGACGUUGCGGCCUUCUCCGUGCUCAUCGCGCACUCGCGCAUGGGCGCCGCGGCCGUGGCCCAUGCCCUACAGUCCUUCACAACGGCGAAGCGGUGCCUUCUGCUGAAUGUGCGCCUUUUCCAGGAGGGGGUGGAGAUACCGGACCUCAACGCCGUCUUUUUCGCCGCGCCGCGAUACAGCUCGCGCGACAUCAUCCAGAGCAUUUGCCGGCCGCUGAACAGGAUGGAGGGCAAACCGCCGUCGUUCGUCUUUCUGCCAGCCGUCUAUGACCGCAGACACGCCGCGGAUCACCCCAUCAACCUGCAGAGCUUCUCCACUCUCAUCCCUUUCACGGAUGCUCUCAUGGACGAGGACCCGAAAUUGUUUGAGUACAUGAUCGACCCUCAGAAGAAAUCGUACGACAUCGACGUUGUCGGCGUUCGCUCGCUCAGGCUGACGUCGGAGAAGCUCCACCGAUUUGUUCUGCCAGCUAUUCGACGUGGUGUGCGCUACUCCACUCGCGACACCGACCGCCUCCACCGCGCCGCGCGGCUCCCGUGGAAGAGCAUCUUUGAGGAGAUGAAGCGCAUCGUGUACGACUGCAACCGCUACCCCAAGACAAACGACGCCUGGGUGGUCGGUGGUACGCCAGUGUCGAUGAACAUGUUCUACCAGUACGUGCGCCGCGGCUACAAGAUGUACGAGCGCGGUGACCCCACCUACCUCCAGGUUCACCAGCUGCGCGACCUGGAGAGCCUGCCGCAAUGGAAGCGCUACGGCGUGCACGGGCCGUACCCGUGGAAGGAGUGCCUUCAGACGCUGGAACGCUACCUCCGCGCACACAAGACGGUGCCGCCGCUCGACAUACACAAGGGCGGCUACGUCGGCCUCGACGCGACACCGUUUGAGCGGCUGGCGGGGUGUCUCAUGAACGUCAACCAGGCGGACAGCCGACUCCAAGUCGGGCUGCCACCAGAGAAGCAGGCGGACUUGGACCGCCUCUGUGCGGCGUACCGGCUGCGGUGGCGCAAGCGGCGCGCCUCCUCCGGGGCCAUUGUAAAGAACGACGUGACAAUGAUCACACAGUCCUACAUGCAGUUCAAGCUGCUGUACGAGAACGCGGACAAGGUGCCGGCGUUUCAAAGGUACCUCCACCUGCACUUCCCCGGAUACCCGCAGAAGCACGUGCGAAUGGAAACGCUCGACAACCUGCGCAAGGGCAUUGUGCCCCCGCGUCGAGCCCAGCAGCCCCGACAGGAGAAGAGGGUGAGAAAGCGGAAGGGCAAGCAGGCCGCCAGCGCGGCUGCGAAGGGCCGCACUGUUAUGUGUCGCAUCUGCCGAGAGCACGUUUCUGUUUUGAAGUGGGAGUCGCACCUCUCCAGCAAAGCACACCUCCGCGCGCAGAAGACGCUGUCGUGAGCGGCGCUCACGGGUGGCGACGACAACGCUGCUGCGAUCUCAUGAGCCAUGAACUCCGUCGACGAGCACAACCAC